UGGGGAAUAUUGGGCAAUGGGCGCAAGCCUGACCCAGCAACGCCGCGUGAAGGAAGAAGGCUUUCGGGUUGUAAACUUCUUUUGUCAGGGAAGAGGAGAAGACUGUACCUGGCGAAUAAGCCACGGCUAACUACGUGCCAGCAGCCGCGGUAAUACGUAGGGGGCGAGCGUUGUCCGGAAUUACUGGGCGUAAAGGGUGAGUAGGCGGUUUUUAAGUUGGAUGUGAAAUACCCGGGCUUAACUUGGGGGGUGCAUUCAAAACUGGAGAACUAGAGUACAGGAGAGGAAAGCGGAAUUCCUAGUGUAGCGGUGAAAUGCGUAGAUAUUAGGAGGAACACCAGUGGCGAAGGCGGCUUACUGGACUGUAACUGACGUUGAGGCUCGAAAGCGUGGGGA
Molecule: ribosomal RNA, 396 nt
Filed under: uncultured Clostridium sp.
Lineage: Bacteria; Bacillati; Bacillota; Clostridia; Eubacteriales; Clostridiaceae
Description: bacterial SSU rRNA
Rfam family: Bacterial small subunit ribosomal RNA
Source: RNAcentral